This 235-nucleotide signal recognition particle RNA is filed under the name Pongo abelii (Sumatran orangutan). Its description in RNAcentral is "Metazoan signal recognition particle RNA (ENSPPYG00000036618.1)". It matches the Rfam family "Metazoan signal recognition particle RNA". Rfam says of the family: The signal recognition particle (SRP) is a universally conserved ribonucleoprotein. It is involved in the co-translational targeting of proteins to membranes. Lineage: Eukaryota; Metazoa; Chordata; Mammalia; Primates; Hominidae. The record is from RNAcentral.
GCCGGGCACGGUGGCGGGCGCCUGUAAUCCCAGCUACUUGGGAGGCUGAGGCAGGAGAAUCGCUUGAACCCGGGAGGCGGAGGUUGCAGUGAGCUGAGAUCGUACCACUGCACUCAAGCAUGGGCGACAAGAGCGAAACUCCGUCAAAAAAAAAAAAAAAAAAAACCUGUGAAAAUAGAUACGAUCUCGGCUCACUGCAACCUCCGCCUCCAGGGUUAAAGCGAUUCUCCUGCCU